RNAcentral lists this ribosomal RNA (1437 nucleotides) under Schizomavella australis. RNAcentral's name for it is "SSU rRNA". It matches the Rfam family "Eukaryotic small subunit ribosomal RNA", at positions 375 to 1827 of the family's 1831-position model. The record is from RNAcentral. Lineage: Eukaryota; Metazoa; Bryozoa; Gymnolaemata; Cheilostomatida; Bitectiporidae.
GUUCGAUUCGGAGAGGGAGCCUGAGAGACGGCUACCACAUCCAAGGAAGGCAGCAGGCGCGCAAAUUACCCACUCUCAGUGCGAGGAGGUAGUGACGAAAAAUAACGAGACAGUCCUCUAUGAGGUCUGUCAUCGGAAUGGGUACAAUUUAAACCCUUUAACGAUGAUCUAUUGGAAGGGCAAGUCUGGUGCCAGCAGCCGCGGUAAUUCCAGCUCCAAAAGUAUAUACUAAAAUUGUUGCGGUUAAAAAGCUCGUAGUUGGAUUGUCGGCCAUGAAGACUGGUAGCCCUUUGGGUUUAACUAGUGCUUCUGGUCUAUUUGCUGGUCUUUCCUUGGUGCUCUUAACUGAGUGCCUUGGUUGGCUAGUGCAUUUACUUUGAAAAAAUUAGAGUGCUCAAAGUAGGCGUUUGCCUGAAUAGUGGUGCAUGGAAUAAUGGAAUAGGACCUCGGUUCUAUUUUGUUGGUUUACAGAGCUCGAGGUAAUGAUUAAGAGGGACAAACGGGGGCAUUCGUACUGCUACGUUAGAAGGUGAAAUUCUUGGAUCGUAACUAUGACGAACAACUGCGAAAGCAUUUGCCAAGAUGUUUUCAUUAAUCAAGAACGAAAGUCAGAGGUGCGAAGGCGAUCAGAUACCGCCGUAGUUCUGACCGUAAACGAUGCCAACUGGCAAUUGGGCGCGCUUCUAUAGAAGUUGCUGCCAGCAGUAUUGCCCGGGAAACCAAAGUCAUUGGGUUCCGGGGGGAGUAUGGUUGCAAAGCUGAAACUUAAAGGAAUUGACGGAAGGGCACCACCAGGAGUGGAGCCUGCGGCUUAAUUUGACUCAACACGGGAAACCUCACCCGGCCCGAACACUGUUAUGACAGACAGGUUGAGAGCUCUUUCUCCGAUUCAGUGGUUGGUGGUGCAUGGCCGUUCUUAGUUCGUGGAGCGAUGUGUCUGGUUAAUUCCGAUAACGAACGAGACUCUUGCCUGCUAAAUAGACGGCGCCGCCCUGUUCGGCGACCGUUCGCUUCUUAGAGGGACAAGCGGCUUUUAGCCGCGUGAAGCCGAGAGCAAUAACAGGUCUGUGAUGCCCUCAGAUGUUCGGGGCCGCACGCGCGCUACACUGUUUGCAUCAGCGUGUGACUCCCGCGCCGACUGGCGUGGGCAACCCGUUGAACCGCAAACGUGCUAGGGAUCGGAGAUUGCAAUUGUUCUCCGUGAACGAGGAAUUCCUUGUACUGGCGAGUCAUCAGCUCGCGGGGAAUCUGUCCCUGCCCUUUGUACACACCGCCCGUCGCUACUACCGAUUGAGUGGUUUAGUGAGGCUCACGGACUGCGCGCGGCACACGGCGCUCUCGGGCGUCGCGUCGCGAGGCGGAAAGUGAGACGAACUUGAUCACUUCUAGGAAGUAAAGUCGUAACAAGGUUUUCGUAGGUGAACCUGCGGAAGGAUC